This 433-nucleotide ribosomal RNA is filed under the name uncultured bacterium. Its description in RNAcentral is "partial 16S ribosomal RNA". It matches the Rfam family "Bacterial small subunit ribosomal RNA", at positions 29 to 507 of the family's 1533-position model. The record is from RNAcentral.
AAUGAACGCUGGCGGCAUGCCUAACACAUGCAAGUCGAACGAGACCUCCGGGUCUAGUGGCGCACGGGGGCGUAACGCGUGGGAAGCUUCACUUAGGUUCGGAAUACCUCUCCGAAAGGGGUGCCAAUACCGGAUAAUGUCUUCGGACCAAAGAUUUAUCGCGUUUGGAUGGGCACGAGUUGGAUUAGCUAGUUGGUAGGGUAAAAGCCUACUAAGGCGACGAUCCAUAGCUGGGCGGAGAGGAUGAUCAGCGACACUGGGACUGAGACACGGCCCAGAAUCCUACGGGAGGGGGGAGAGGGGGAUAUUGGACCAUGGGGGAAGGCCUGAACCAGCAAUGCCGGGUGAGUGAUGAAGGCCGUAGAGUUGUAAAGCUCUUUUACCCGGGAUGAUAAUGACGGUACCGGGAGAAUAAGCGCCGGCUAACUCCGUG